RNAcentral lists this ribosomal RNA (484 nucleotides) under uncultured bacterium. Its description in RNAcentral is "partial 16S ribosomal RNA". It matches the Rfam family "Bacterial small subunit ribosomal RNA", at positions 29 to 507 of the family's 1533-position model. The record is from RNAcentral.
AUUGAACGCUGGCGGCAUGCUUUACACAUGCAAGUCGAACGGCAGCGCGGGCUUCGGCCUGGCUGCGAGUGGCGAACGGGUGAGUAAUACAUCGGAACGUGCCCAGUAGGGGGGGAUAGCUCGGCGAAAGCCGGAUUAAUACCGCAUACGGCCUGAUGGUGAAAGCGGGGGAGCUUCGGACAUCGUGCGAGGGGGGCGGCCGAUGGCAGAUUAGCUAGUUUGUGGGGUAAAGGCCUACCAAGGCGACGAUCGGUAGCUGGUCUGAGAGGACGACCAGCCACACUGGGACUGGACCACGGCCCAGACUACUACGAGAGGCCGCAGUGGGCAAUGUUGGACAGUGGGCGAAAGCAUGACACAGCAAGCCCGAGCGUGAGAUGAAGGCCUUCGGGUUGUAAAGCACUCUUGCCGGGAACGAAACGGAUUGUCCUAAUACCACGGUUCGAUGACGGUACUCGCAGAAUAAGCACCGGCUAACUACGUG